Long non-coding RNA from Zea mays, 148 nucleotides. RefSeq lists it as uncharacterized. The record is from RefSeq and is a predicted model, not a curated record. NCBI's taxonomy places the organism in Eukaryota, Viridiplantae, Streptophyta, Magnoliopsida, Poales, Poaceae. The transcript is spliced from 3 exons.
CAACAUGAGAAAACUGCACCUAUUCUUGUGGAGGGGGACGAUGGUGAUAUCGAGUUUGUGGAGUUCCCUAAGGGUGUGGUGGCAAGCAAUUAGCCGAAGAAAGAUGUGCUAAUGGUGGAUGCUAGCCUUUUGGUUUUGGUGGCAUGUU